GACGAACGCUGGCGGCGUGCUUAACACAUGCAAGUCGAACGGAAAGGCCCUGCUUUUGUGGGGUGCUCGAGUGGCGAACGGGUGAGUAACACGUGAGUAACCUGCCCUUGACUUUGGGAUAACUUCAGGAAACUGGGGCUAAUACCGGAUAGGAGCUCCUGCUGCAUGGUGGGGGUUGGAAAGUUUCGGCGGUUGGGGAUGGACUCGCGGCUUAUCAGCUUGUUGGUGGGGUAGUGGCUUACCAAGCUUUGACGGGUAGCCGGCCUGAGAGGGUGACCGGCCACAUUGGGACUGAGAUACGGCCCAGACUCCUACGGGAGGCAGCAGUGGGGAAUAUUGCACAAUGGGCGGAAGCCUGAUGCAGCAACGCCGCGUGCGGGACGACGGCCUUCGGGUUGUAAACCGCUUUCGCCUGUGACGAAGCGUGAGUGACGGUAAUGGGUAAAGAAGCACCGGCUAACUACGUG
Molecule: ribosomal RNA, 467 nt
Filed under: uncultured bacterium
Lineage: Bacteria
Description: partial 16S ribosomal RNA
Rfam family: Bacterial small subunit ribosomal RNA
Source: RNAcentral